This 271-nucleotide long non-coding RNA is filed under the name Fukomys damarensis (Damara mole-rat). Its description in RNAcentral is "lncRNA (ENSFDAG00000031870.1)". Lineage: Eukaryota; Metazoa; Chordata; Mammalia; Rodentia; Bathyergidae. The record is from RNAcentral.
GGGAGAGGUGACAAUGGCUGGAGAGGCACCAGGAGUCACCAGCCGAACAUGUCCAAACUCAUCUGGCGGAGCACUCAAGACCAAGCGUGCUAUCACCCGGGUUGGCUAACAAAACCCUGUCACUGGGAUCUGUGGUGCAUGGACCAUGGCUCCCUGACACCAGACUCCUGGCCACGCGGCACCGGUUACGACAUCUGGGCCCAAUACAUUCUCUGCGUGCGCUAGGGUGACGCGGUUUUAUUAUCUGUGAUGUGCCAGCAGACAGCCCGGC